GACGAACGCUGGCGGCGUGCUUAACACAUGCAAGUCGAGCGGAAAGGCCCUUCGGGGUACUCGAGCGGCGAACGGGUGAGUAACACGUGAGUAACCUGCCCCAGACUUUGGGAUAACCCUCGGAAACGGGGGCUAAUACCGGAUACGACACAGCUUCGCAUGGGGUCUGUGUGGAAAGUUUUUCGGUUUGGGAUGGGCUCGCGGCCUAUCAGCUUGUUGGUGGGGUGAUGGCCUACCAAGGCGACGACGGGUAGCCGGCCUGAGAGGGCGACCGGCCACACUGGGACUGAGACACGGCCCAGACUCUUACGGGAGGCAGCAGUGGGGAAUAUUGCACAAUGGGCGGAAGCCUGAUGCAGCGACGCCGCGUGAGGGAUGACGGCCUUCGGGUUGUAAACCUCUUUCAGCAGGGACGAAGCGUAAGUGACGGUACCUGCAGAAGAAGCGCCGGCCAACUACGUG
Molecule: ribosomal RNA, 462 nt
Filed under: uncultured bacterium
Lineage: Bacteria
Description: partial 16S ribosomal RNA
Rfam family: Bacterial small subunit ribosomal RNA
Source: RNAcentral